Molecule: ribosomal RNA, 253 nt
Filed under: uncultured bacterium
Lineage: Bacteria
Description: partial 16S ribosomal RNA
Rfam family: Bacterial small subunit ribosomal RNA
Source: RNAcentral
UACGUAGGGGACGAGCGUUGUCCGGAUUCAUUGGGCGUAAAGCGCGCGUAGGCGGCUCGGAAAGUCGGUCGUGAAAUGCCGGGGCUCAACCCCGGGACUGCGUCCGAUACUUCCGGGCUGGAGGUAGGUAGGGGAGAUCGGAAUUCCUGGUGUAGCGGUGAAAUGCGCAGAUAUCAGGAGGAACACCGGUGGCGAAGGCGGAUCUCUGGGCCUUACCUGACGCUGAGGCGCGAAAGCUAGGGGAGCGAACAGG